Molecule: ribosomal RNA, 472 nt
Filed under: uncultured bacterium
Lineage: Bacteria
Description: partial 16S ribosomal RNA
Rfam family: Bacterial small subunit ribosomal RNA
Source: RNAcentral
GACGAACGCUGGCGGCGUGCUUAACACAUGCAAGUCGAACGCUGAAGCUUGGUUCUUGCACUGGGUGGAUGAGUGGCGAACGGGUGAGUAAUACGUGAGUAACCUGCCCUUGACUCUGGGAUAAGCCUGGGACACUGGGUCUAAUACUGGAUACGACAUGUCACCGCAUGGUGGUGUGUGGAAAUGGUUUUACUGGUUUUGGAUGGGCUCACGGCCUAUCAGCUUGUUGGUUGGGUAAUGGCUCACCAAGGCGACGACGGGUAGCCGGCCUGAGAGGGUGACCGGCCACACUGGGACUGAGACACGGCCCAGACUCCUACGGGAGGCAGCAGUGGGGAAUAUUGCACAAUGGGCGGAAGCCUGAUGCAGCGACGCCGCGUGAGGGAUGACGGCCUUCGGGUUGUAAACCGCUUUCAGCACGGAAGAAGCGAAGGUGACGGUAAGUGCAGAAGAAGCGCCGGCUAACUACGUG